CAUCGAUGAAGAACGCAGCGAAUGCGAUAAGUAAUGUGAAUUGCAGAAUUCAGUGAAUCAUCGAAUCUUUGAACGCAUCUUGCGCUCCUUGGUAUUCCGAGGAGAUGCCUGUUUGACUGUCAU
RNAcentral lists this ribosomal RNA (123 nucleotides) under Agaricus bitorquis. Its description in RNAcentral is "5.8S ribosomal RNA". It matches the Rfam family "5.8S ribosomal RNA", at positions 31 to 154 of the family's 154-position model. Rfam says of the family: 5.8S ribosomal RNA (5.8S rRNA) is a component of the large subunit of the eukaryotic ribosome. Lineage: Eukaryota; Fungi; Basidiomycota; Agaricomycetes; Agaricales; Agaricaceae. The record is from RNAcentral.